AAGGCAUAUCCCGAAAAGCCUGUAAUAGAGUAGGGA
Molecule: non-coding RNA, 36 nt
Filed under: unclassified sequences
Description: DUF805b RNA
Rfam family: DUF805b RNA
About the family: Bacteroidetes, Chlorobi (1 example), Proteobacteria. Lineage (Flavobacteria)
Source: RNAcentral